This 629-nucleotide ribosomal RNA is filed under the name uncultured bacterium. RNAcentral's name for it is "bacterial SSU rRNA". It matches the Rfam family "Bacterial small subunit ribosomal RNA", at positions 57 to 732 of the family's 1533-position model. The record is from RNAcentral.
GCAAGUCGAACGAGAUCUUCGGGUCUAGUGGCGCACGGGUGCGUAACGCGUGGGAAUCUGCCCUUUGGUUCGGAAUAACAGUUGGAAACGACAGCUAAUACCGGAUGAUGACGAAAGUCCAAAGAUUUAUCGCCAGAGGAUGAGCCCGCGUAGGAUUAGCUAGUUGGUGUGGUAAAGGCGCACCAAGGCGACGAUCCUUAGCUGGUCUGAGAGGAUGAUCAGCCACACUGGGACUGAGACACGGCCCAGACUCCUACGGGAGGCAGCAGUGGGGAAUAUUGGACAAUGGGCGAAAGCCUGAUCCAGCAAUGCCGCGUGAGUGAUGAAGGCCUUAGGGUUGUAAAGCUCUUUUACCCGGGAUGAUAAUGACAGUACCGGGAGAAUAAGCUCCGGCUAACUCCGUGCCAGCAGCCGCGGUAAUACGGAGGGAGCUAGCGUUGUUCGGAAUUACUGGGCGUAAAGCGCACGUAGGCGGCUUUGUAAGUUAGAGGUGAAAGCCUGGAGCUCAACUCCAGAACUGCCUUUAAGACUGCAUCGCUUGAAUCCAGGAGAGGUGAGUGGAAUUCCGAGUGUAGAGGUGAAAUUCGUAGAUAUUCGGAAGAACACCAGUGGCGAAGGCGGCUCACUGG